This 1371-nucleotide ribosomal RNA is filed under the name uncultured bacterium. RNAcentral's name for it is "bacterial SSU rRNA". It matches the Rfam family "Bacterial small subunit ribosomal RNA". The record is from RNAcentral.
AGAGUUUGAUCCUGGCUCAGGACGAACGCUGGCGGCGCGCCUAACACAUGCAAGUCGAACGGAGUCGAGAGGAGCUUGCUUUUCUUGACUUAGUGGCGAACGGGUGAGUAACGCGUGAGUAACCUGCCCUGGAGUGGGGGACAACAGUUGGAAACGACUGCUAAUACCGCAUAAGCCCACGGCCCGGCAUCGGGCUGCGGGAAAAGGAUUUAUUCGCUUCAGGAUGGACUCGCGUCCAAUUAGCUAGUUGGUGAGGUAACGGCCCACCAAGGCGACGAUUGGUAGCCGGACUGAGAGGUUGAACGGCCACAUUGGGACUGAGACACGGCCCAGACUCCUACGGGAGGCAGCAGUGGGGGAUAUUGCACAAUGGGGGAAACCCUGAUGCAGCGACGCCGCGUGGAGGAAGAAGGUUUUCGGAUUGUAAACUCCUGUCGUUAGGGACGAUAAUGACGGUACCUAACAAGAAAGCACCGGCUAACUACGUGCCAGCAGCCGCGGUAAAACGUAGGGUGCAAGCGUGUCCGGAAUUACUGGGUGUAAAGGGAGCGCAGGCGGACCGGCAAGUUGGAAGUGAAAACUGUGGGCUCAACCCAUAAAUUGCUUUCAAAACUGCUGGCCUUGAGUAGUGCAGAGGUAGGUGGAAUUCCCGGUGUAGCGGUGGAAUGCGUAGAUAUCGGGAGGAACACCAGUGGCGAAGGCGACCUACUGGGCACCAACUGACGCUGAGGCUCGAAAGCAUGGGUAGCAAACAGGAUUAGAUACCCUGGUAGUCCAUGCCGUAAACGAUGAUUACUAGGUGUUGGAGGAUUGACCCCUUCAGUGCCGCAGUUAACACAAUAAGUAAUCCACCUGGGGAGUACGACCGCAAGGUUGAAACUCAAAGGAAUUGACGGGGGCCCGCACAAGCAGUGGAGUAUGUGGUUUAAUUCGAAGCAACGCGAAGAACCUUACCAGGUCUUGACAUCCGAUGCAUAGUGCAGAGAUGCAUGAAGUCCUUCGGGACAUCGAGACAGGUGGUGCAUGGUUGUCGUCAGCUCGUGUCGUGAGAUGUUGGGUUAAGUCCCGCAACGAGCGCAACCCUUAUUGCCAGUUACUACGUAAGAGGACUCUGGCGAGACUGCCGUUGACAAAACGGAGGAAGGUGGGGAUGACGUCAAAUCAUCAUGCCCUUUAUGACCUGGGCUACACACGUACUACAAUGGCGUUUAACAAAGAGAAGCAAGACCGCGAGGUGGAGCAAAACUCAAAAACAACGUCUCAGUUCAGAUUGCAGGCUGCAACUCGCCUGCAUGAAGUCGGAAUUGCUAGUAAUCGCGGAUCAGCAUGCCGCGGUGAGUACGUUCCCGGGCCUUGCACACACCGCCCGUC